Molecule: ribosomal RNA, 253 nt
Filed under: uncultured bacterium
Lineage: Bacteria
Description: partial 16S ribosomal RNA
Rfam family: Bacterial small subunit ribosomal RNA
Source: RNAcentral
UACGAAGGGGGCUAGCGUUGUUCGGAAUUACUGGGCGUAAAGCGCACGUAGGCGGAUAUUUAAGUCAGGCGUGAAAGUCCUGGGCUCAACCUGGGAACUGCGCUUGAUACGGCAGAGCUAGAGGAUGGAAGAGGCUCGCGGAAUUCCCAGUGUAGAGGUGAAAUUCGUAGAUAUUGGGAAGAACACCGGUGGCGAAGGCGGCGAGCUGGUCCAUUACUGACGCUGAGGCGCGACAGCGUGGGGAGCAAACAGG